Molecule: ribosomal RNA, 373 nt
Filed under: uncultured organism
Description: bacterial SSU rRNA
Rfam family: Bacterial small subunit ribosomal RNA
Source: RNAcentral
CAGAGGGUGCAAGCGUUGUUCGGAAUUACUGGGCGUAAAGCGCGCGCAGGCGGAUCCUGCAAGUCAGAAGUGAAAUCUCACUGCUCAACGGUGAGGCUGCUUUUGAUACUGCGGAUCUGGAGACCGGUAGAGGCUGGUAGAAUUGCAGGUGUAGCGGUGGAAUGCGUAGAGAUCUGCAAGAAUACCCGUGGCGAAGGCGGCCAGCUGGGCCGGUUCUGACGCUGAGGCGCGAAAGCGUGGGGAGCAAACAGGAUUAGAUACCCUGGUAGUCCACGCCGUAAACGAUGGGCACUAGGUGCUGGGGGGAGCGACCCCGUCAGUGCCGCAGCUAACGCGAUAAGUGCCCCGCCUGGGGAGUACGGCCGCAAGGCUG